UCAGCUGGCCGGGCGGCCGCGGUUGCAAGUGCCGAAAGGCCGCAAUCGAGGAAAGUCCGGGCUCCACGGAAACACGGUGCCGGGCAACGCCCGGCGGGGGAAACCCCAGGGAAAGCGCCACAGAAAGCAAACCGCCCCGCCUGCAUUCCGGCUCAACCGCUCCUGCGCGGUCAAUCGAGCCUGAAUGCUGGCGGGGCAAGGGUGAAAGGGUGGGGUAAGAGCCCACCGCGCGGGCAGCAAUGUCGGCGGCACGGCAAGCCCCACCGGGAGCAAGACCGAAUAGGGACGAUGCGGCGAAAGCCAGGGCUGUUUCCGGCCCCAGUCGUCCGGGUUGGUUGCUUGAGGCGUCCGGCAACGGGCGUCCCAGAGGAAUGGUCGCCACGUCCAUGCUCUCGCGGGCAUGGGCCAUACAGAACCCGGCUUACAGGCCGGCUGACAUU
Molecule: RNase P RNA, 440 nt
Filed under: Brucellaceae bacterium
Lineage: Bacteria; Pseudomonadati; Pseudomonadota; Alphaproteobacteria; Hyphomicrobiales; Brucellaceae
Also listed under: 2 other names
Description: RNase P RNA component class A
Rfam family: Bacterial RNase P class A
About the family: Ribonuclease P (RNase P) is a ubiquitous endoribonuclease, found in archaea, bacteria and eukarya as well as chloroplasts and mitochondria. Its best characterised activity is the generation of mature 5'-ends of tRNAs by cleaving the 5'-leader elements of precursor-tRNAs.
Source: RNAcentral